Molecule: transfer RNA, 65 nt
Filed under: Megacrania alpheus adan
Lineage: Eukaryota; Metazoa; Arthropoda; Insecta; Phasmatodea; Phasmatidae
Also listed under: 1 other name
Description: tRNA-Asp
Source: RNAcentral
AGAAAUUUAGUUAAAAGAUAACAUUAAUAUGUCAUAUUAAAAUAAUUGAAUAUCAAUAAUUUCUA